This 145-nucleotide ribosomal RNA is filed under the name uncultured bacterium. RNAcentral's name for it is "partial 16S rRNA". It matches the Rfam family "Bacterial small subunit ribosomal RNA", at positions 352 to 511 of the family's 1533-position model. The record is from RNAcentral.
CAGUGGGGAAUUUUCCGCAAUGGGCGAAAGCCUGACGGAGCAAUGCCGCGUGGAGGUGGAAGGCCUACGGGUCGUCAAACUUCUUUUCUCGGAGAAGAAACAAUGACGGUAUCUGAGGAAUAAGCAUCGGCUAACUCUGUGCCAG